AACGCACAUUGCGCCCCUUGGUAUUCCAUGGGGCAUGCCUGUUCGAGCGUCAUUUGUACCUUCAAGCUCUGCUUGGUGUUGGGUGUUUGUCGCGCUUUGUGCGUGGACUCGCCUUAAAUCCAUUGGCAGCCGGCAGUCUGGUGUUGGAGCGCAGCACAUUUUGCGCACUAGACCACGAAUGUCGGCGUCCAUAGGCCUACAAUUUUGCUCUUGACCUCGGAUCAGGUAGGGAUACCCGCUGAACUUAA
This 248-nucleotide unclassified non-coding RNA is filed under the name uncultured fungus. RNAcentral describes it as "partial contains 5.8S ribosomal RNA, internal transcribed spacer 2, and large subunit ribosomal RNA". Lineage: Eukaryota; Fungi. The record is from RNAcentral.